This 301-nucleotide ribosomal RNA is filed under the name uncultured bacterium. RNAcentral's name for it is "partial 16S ribosomal RNA". It matches the Rfam family "Bacterial small subunit ribosomal RNA", at positions 509 to 807 of the family's 1533-position model. The record is from RNAcentral.
CAGUCGCCGCGGGAAUACGUAGGGUGCAAGCGUUAAUCGGAAUUACUGGGCGUAAAGCGUGCGCAGGCGGUUCGCUAAGACAGAUGUGAAAUCCCCGGGCUUAACCUGGGAACUGCAUUUGUGACUGGCGGGCUAGAGUAUGGCAGAGGGGGGUAGAAUUCCACGUGUAGCAGUGAAAUGCGUAGAGAUGUGGAGGAAUACCGAUGGCGAAGGCAGCCCCCUGGGCCAAUACUGACGCUCAUGCACGAAAGCGUGGGGAGCAAACAGGAUUAGAUACCCGCGUAGUCCCUGUCUCUUAUAC